Cydia fagiglandana is the source of this 186-nucleotide long non-coding RNA. RefSeq lists it as uncharacterized. The transcript has 3 exons. NCBI's taxonomy places the organism in Eukaryota, Metazoa, Arthropoda, Insecta, Lepidoptera, Tortricidae. The record is from RefSeq and is a predicted model, not a curated record.
GGAGGUGCGGGGGGAGGGGGAGGGAGGGGAGGGGCGCGCGGCGCGCACGCACUGCACGUGGCCGCUGGCGCCGCAAGCCGCGCUCGCCAUAACGGAGGAGCCGGCGUGCUGCGUGCGCAGCGACCUGUUCCUGGCGGCGCACGACGACGACUCGCAACAAAUGAUCCCGGGCGCGGGCGGCGCGGG